UACGUAGGGUGCAAGCGUUGUCCGGAAUUAUUGGGCGUAAAGAGCUCGUAGGCGGUUUGUCACGUCGGCUGUGAAAACCUGGGGCUCAACUCCGGGCCUGCAGCCGAUACGGGCAGACUAGAAUUCGGUAGGGGAGACUGGAAUUCCUGGUGUAGCGGUGAAGUGCGCAGAUAUCAGGAGGAACACCGGUGGCGAAGGCGGGUCUCUGGGCCGAUACUGACGCUGAGGAGCGAAAGCGUGGGGAGCGAACAGG
This 253-nucleotide ribosomal RNA is filed under the name uncultured bacterium. RNAcentral's name for it is "partial 16S ribosomal RNA". It matches the Rfam family "Bacterial small subunit ribosomal RNA", at positions 524 to 776 of the family's 1533-position model. The record is from RNAcentral.